This is an RNA transcript of Dromaius novaehollandiae (emu), 2409 nucleotides long. It is a transcript of the gene named cold inducible RNA binding protein, with no coding region annotated. Lineage: Eukaryota; Metazoa; Chordata; Aves; Casuariiformes; Dromaiidae. The transcript has 8 exons. The record is from RefSeq and is a predicted model, not a curated record.
CAUAAGAGGGGCGGGGCUCAGCGCAGGGGUUUAUAAGCCGCUGCCCCGCCAGCCUCAGCGUACAUCGCGCUGAGACUUUGAAGUGCUGUGUGGACCCUGCAGCUCCAGAGUACUGGACAAAAUGGCAUCUGAUGAGGGAAAGCUCUUUGUUGGCGGUCUGAGUUUUGACACUAAUGAGCAGUCAUUGGAACAAGUCUUCUCUAAAUAUGGACAGAUUUCUGAAGUCGUUGUGGUGAAAGACAGAGAGACUCAAAGAUCCAGAGGUUUUGGCUUUGUUACAUUUGAAAACAUAGAUGAUGCUAAAGAUGCAAUGAUGGCUAUGAAUGGAAAGUCUGUAGAUGGACGUCAGAUCAGAGUUGAUCAGGCUGGAAAAUCAUCAGAGAACAGAUCUCGUGGAUACAGAGGGGGGUCUUCUGGGGGCAGAGGCUUUUUCCGUGGCGGCAGAGGUCGGGGCCGUGGCUUCUCUAGAGGAGGUGGAGACAGAGGCUAUGGCGGAAGCAGAUUUGAUUCCAGAAGUGGAGGAUAUAAUGGCUCCAGAGACUACUAUAAUAGCAGCAGGAGUCAAGGUGGUUAUGGUGACAGAUCUUCAGGAGGAUCCUACAGAGACAGCUAUGACAGUUACGGCUGAAGAGAAGAUGGACAUUCAACACUGAAGCUGGAUGGGAAUUCUGAGAAAGGAGCGCAUUCAUUCCAAGAAAGCUGUAUCAAGACUUGAGUUCACCAAGCAGCAGUGAAUUGCAUCGGAGAAGACCAAGAAGGACAGCUACUGAUGGGAAUGGAGGAGAAGAAAUUUGAGCAAUGUUGUUACUGAUUUUUUUAACAUAUAGAUCGAUUGAACAAACAAGUCAAGAUAGAAUAAAAUACUGGAAUAUGGAAAAAAGUCUGAAUCUCUGUAGUACUUUUGUGGGAAAACAUAAGAAUAGUAGAUUGUGGCCAAGGUGUACAAUAGAAAUCUAUUUGGUGUAUUGCCUAGGUUAAAAAAAGAUUUAAAGUGCAUUGCUGGUUGGGGGUGUGGAUAGAAAGGGUAACCUGUCUUUAUGAGCAAGUUUGAGGAAGAAUUUACAUUCUUGUAACCUUGAAUUAAGUGGCCUAGUUGCAUUGGUUUUUGCAUCUGCAAAACUAGUAAAGCAAGUACAUCUGAAAAGAACUGUUAGAUGAGCAAUUACUUAAACAUAGAAUCACUAUUGUUUGUUCAGAACAGAAGUAAGCUGCUUUUGCCAGUUGAAAUUGCAACAAAACUUAGGCAGAAGUUUAAUUUGCAUUUGAAUGCGCAAGCUGUUUUGAGCUUGGAUAAUGAAUGAUUUGUUUUCAUACACAUUAGUAUAAUUAAUGUGUUUUGCUGAUGAAAAUGAAGUGUGAUGUUCCUGCAACUCAUUACAGUGGUUAUACAUUCCCAAGCAACAUACAUUUCUGUUCUCAGAUGGUGCAUAGGAUUGGUCUGUCCUGCAGUGAGUGUUUUCUGUGUGUUUAAUCAUUUGCCUCAAUAUAAAGUUGGCCCAAGGUUCCCAUUUAUAUUAAGUUGUUACUUGUAACUCAAAAGCAAACUUCAGGCUUCUAGGAUAACUUAUGUUAAAAGUAAGUUUCACUGACUCCAGUUUGAAAAGUAACAAUCUGGUAUUAGCAAAUCCAGCUUUGGUCUUUUCCAUGGUCUGGAAUUCUCUAGUGGGGUAACUAGGGUGGGGGUAACAUCAGGUGAAAGCUAAUAGAGGUUGAGAGAUCAGUGAAGCUAAGUGAAGCAAGCCAAGUGUUGAAGCAGUACUGAGCCAUGCAGCUCUUGAGUACUGCAAUUAGAUUGUUUCAGAUGGAUGACUGAAGCAUUUGGACAACAAGCUGAGUAGAAAUGCUGCUGCAGAGACUGUCAGUGAUUGCCUUAGGCAUUGUUAUGAGGAAAACAGUGUCAGUUGAGUAUGGAAUAGUUACCUUGUACAAAAUUAUUUGCUUUUACUUAAUGAAAAGGCACAUAAAAGUCACCUUUUGGAAAUGGUGAAAAUGGCAAAUUUUGAAAGUUUUGGGGGGUACCCGUGGUUGCACAGUCUUGCAGAAGUGGGGUUGGGUGUUCGUGGGUAACAAGGUAGUAACUAGUUUGACUCAUUUCAGGAAGAUGCCUUGGGUGGAGUGGAGUGGGGGGAAGUACAGAGUUGCCUGAAGGAGAGUUAGGAAUAGAGCAGCCCUAGCACUUGGCAAGUUUUAAAACCUCAACAUAUUUGUGUGUGUAGCUAAUACACUCAAGAUGUUUGCCUGUGACUGAAGAACUGUGUAGUUGGAACAAAUCUCCCUAGUAAAUACAAAAUUCAACCUCAGACUGAAUGUGCAUAAGCCACCAUUUGGAAAAAUUUCAAUUUUGUACUCACUCCCUUUGAUUUUAUGGAAUAGAAUGGCUAAUAAAAGACUUCUUGCCAUCUUUCCUAA